AACGGCCGUACCAUGCUGAAUAUACCGGUUCCCGUUAGAUCACCGAAGUCAAGCAUCAUUGGGCGCGGUCAGUACUUGGGUGGGUGACUACCGGGGAACACCGCGUGCCGUU
This is a non-coding RNA of Caerostris darwini, 112 nucleotides long. The record is from the annotation of a GenBank genome assembly. NCBI's taxonomy places the organism in Eukaryota, Metazoa, Arthropoda, Arachnida, Araneae, Araneidae.